AAUUAAAACAAAAGAAAGAAAAGAGAGAGAAGAAACGAACCACGUGUUCCUGUGUUCUUUGUGUUUCCUUUCGUUCAGCUUAAUUCGUGCUUCAUUCCAUUCCAUUACAAUUAAGCU
RNAcentral lists this non-coding RNA (117 nucleotides) under Symbiodinium sp. CCMP2430. Lineage: Eukaryota; Dinophyceae; Suessiales; Symbiodiniaceae. The record is from RNAcentral.